UCUUGCCAACCCUCGCCUUUGUUUUCUCCUUCUUCUCCUUUUGACAACUAGUAGGUUUAUAUUGGCAACAUUUAAGUUCAGUCGGACCUGAAUAAGAGCUGCUUGAUAGUGAAGACAUGAUCUUACUCCAAGAUCCAUCAUGAGUAAUAGAAGUUCAUGACACUGAAGAAAUCUGACUUAUCUAUAAUUGUCAUCUCUGAGUGAAGCGACAUUUUCAAUUGGCAUUUAUCUGAUUUACAUUCGGUAGGUAUCCGUAAUCCUUCCGUUCAUGUCUACCAGGACCUGCAACGGAUGUAUAACGAACAAGUAACGGAUAUAAAACGGACACGAAACGGACAAGUACCGCACAAAACGGACGACUACCGGACAUUCAACGGAUACUUCAUCCGUUGGACGUCCGUUCAAAGUUUUGAACAUGCUCAAAAUUUUCCACCGAACAUAUACCGGACGCCGAUGGAUAAAAUGGGCGCUAAACGGAGAUGAAACAGAUAUGGACGGACUUAAACGGAUUAAAAAAAAGUUAUCCGUUCGACAUCCGUUCGAGCUAUCCAUUAUGUGUGACCGAGGCUAUUGAACCGCAUUCUUAUAUUCACAGUUUGUCUGUAUGUGAUAUAUCACAUAGUUGUUUUCCUCGUAGCAAUAGUAUACCGUAUACAAUAAAGAAACCAUUCCAUCAAUUGUUCUGCACCGUUUUUGCAGCAUUGUAGUUUGUAAAAUUAUUUUUAUUUAAGUCUUAACUUAUAUGUAACA
This 750-nucleotide long non-coding RNA is filed under the name Mytilus galloprovincialis (Mediterranean mussel). The record is from RNAcentral. Lineage: Eukaryota; Metazoa; Mollusca; Bivalvia; Mytilida; Mytilidae.